Long non-coding RNA from Capsicum annuum, 1016 nucleotides. RefSeq lists it as uncharacterized. The record is from RefSeq and is a predicted model, not a curated record. The transcript has 3 exons. NCBI's taxonomy places the organism in Eukaryota, Viridiplantae, Streptophyta, Magnoliopsida, Solanales, Solanaceae.
UCUUGUCUCUCUCUCGUAUCUCGUCUAUCGUCUAUGACUUCUCACUUUUUUUUUUUAGCAAUUUCAAUCAUCUAUGGUUGAUUCAAUUUAUAGUGAAAUCUCUUCCAUCUAAGUAAUUAAUCGUUCGUGUUUCGGAUUGUGAAACCCUAGCCUUAAGUUUUUGGUACCUUUUUUAUGGCUGACAGUAGUUCAUACAAGUUGGAUCCCGGGCCACUUGAGCCGUCUAUAUUAACUGAACAACUCACUCAUAGGUCACGAAAUAUAUGGGAUGGAAGUGUUGAUAUGGUUCUUAAUACGAGAAAGGGUGAUGAAAGUUCUUGGAAGCUCGUAGAAAAAUAUCCUAUCCAUCCACGAGUUUUAGAAGUGAUUAAAUUAUUUGGAUUGUGUGGUGUUUUUAGAUAUAAUAGGUCUGCUAUCGACCGUAGUUUGAUCACUUCAUUAAUUAAGCGUUGGCGUCCGAAAACACAUACUUCCACUUUAGAACAGGUGAAGCAACUAUCACCUUACAAGAUGUCGAGGUGUUGUAUGGAUUAAUUGUGAAUGGUGCUCCGGUACUUGGUACUGAGACGACAAGAACUAUAGGAGAUUGGAAAAACAUUUGUCAAAGAUUAUUAGGUUUUGUUCCAUCUCUCCAGGACUUUAGAAAUAGUUUCCUCAAGGUCUCUGUGCUUAAAGCGCACAUGCCAGGUGAGCCACAAUUGUCAGACAUGGCAACCCAAGAAAUAGUCAAUCAGAAGGCUAGGUGUUACAUGUUCUAGAUGACUGCAGGUAUGAUAAUGGUAGAUACAUCUAGUUCUUAUUUGAAGCUUAUCUACCUGUCUAUGCUCGAGGACGUCAAUACAAGUGGGUCUUAUAGUUGGGGUAGUGCAACUUUAGCGUACUUGUAUCGUUUUCUUUGUAAAGCCUCACAGAGUACCCAAAAUGAGAUAGCCGGAUUUCUACCACUACUUCAGGUUUGGGCAUGGGAGAGGAUCACUGUCCUUAGGCCACAGAUAGUAGGAAAAAGAGGUACAAGA